This 73-nucleotide transfer RNA is filed under the name Capra hircus (goat). It matches the Rfam family "tRNA". From Rfam's summary of the family: Transfer RNA (tRNA) molecules are approximately 80 nucleotides in length. Their secondary structure includes four short double-helical elements and three loops (D, anti-codon, and T loops). The record is from Rfam by way of RNAcentral. Lineage: Eukaryota; Metazoa; Chordata; Mammalia; Artiodactyla; Bovidae. RNAcentral also lists the same sequence under 1 other name.
CCCUUAGUGGCUCAGAUGGUAAAGAAUCUGCCUGCAAUGCAGGAGACCCAGGUUCCAUCCCCUGGAGAAGGGA